GCGGGAGUGAUGUAAAGGCCAACAUUCGAGUCUUCCAAACUCGUUCUGCGGGUUCGAGUCCCGCCUUCCGCA
RNAcentral lists this transfer RNA (72 nucleotides) under Acidobacteriota bacterium. RNAcentral describes it as "Acidobacteria bacterium (rhizosphere metagenome) tRNA-Gly". It matches the Rfam family "tRNA". From Rfam's summary of the family: Transfer RNA (tRNA) molecules are approximately 80 nucleotides in length. Lineage: Bacteria; Pseudomonadati; Acidobacteriota. The record is from RNAcentral.